CCGGAGGAUCUUCCGGAUGGUUCCGUUGCUUCUUUAGCGAGACGCUUCAGAGCUCCAUAUGCGAGGGAGGAAGAGUGCGAAUGGUGCCCGAGAGGAUACAGAUGUCCAAAGGGGGGGAGAUGAUAGAGGAGGUCAUUGGGAGAACGGAGGACAAGGAGUUGCCUGAGUUCCAAAACGGUGCCUUUGAGGUUCUAGGGGUUGGAAGGAAAGGUAAAAAUCUUAUUCAAGGAGAUUUCUUGGAUAAUUAUGUCCCAGAAGGCGAGAUUAAAAGGCACACGAUGCGUGAAUUGAUCGGUUCAAUUCGUGUCGUGGAUGAUAAGGAAUUUCACUGUGAUCAGUGGAUUGAGGAGCCAACACUUCU
Molecule: unclassified non-coding RNA, 361 nt
Filed under: Hevea brasiliensis (rubber tree)
Lineage: Eukaryota; Viridiplantae; Streptophyta; Magnoliopsida; Malpighiales; Euphorbiaceae
Source: RNAcentral